Ananas comosus (pineapple) is the source of this 351-nucleotide long non-coding RNA. RefSeq lists it as uncharacterized. The record is from RefSeq and is a predicted model, not a curated record. NCBI's taxonomy places the organism in Eukaryota, Viridiplantae, Streptophyta, Magnoliopsida, Poales, Bromeliaceae. The transcript has 2 exons.
GUCCAAAAGUCUAAAUUGACAUUUUGACAGGUCGACGACGCGCUAAUUACGGUAGAGGCCGUUCUAGUUCUAUUUGCGCUGGGUCGCGAGAGAUAGUUGUCGACGCAUCCCGAGACAUUGAUCUUAGUUAUUGACACCACUACAGGUUCCAGUGCGAGCGGUGUGGCCGAGGAUCGCGGCAAGAGCCCAGCAGUUUAGCUAGCUGACACCAGAGUAUAGUUGUUUACCAUUUUGGGUUUAUGUAUCAUCCAUCUUGAUGUACCAGACAUGAAAAUGAAUGUAUUUAAGAGAAUGUAAAUAACUGAAGGUUUCAGUUAUUCAGUUUCAUACAGUUCAGUUCAAAGUUUUAAA